Molecule: ribosomal RNA, 775 nt
Filed under: Neotrombicula talmiensis
Lineage: Eukaryota; Metazoa; Arthropoda; Arachnida; Trombidiformes; Trombiculidae
Description: partial large subunit ribosomal RNA
Rfam family: Eukaryotic large subunit ribosomal RNA
Source: RNAcentral
GAUUCCCGUAGUAACUGCGAGUGAACCGGGAAAAGCCCAGCGUGAAGGCUCUUGCGUGUAUGCGUAAGAGCGGUGCCACGUUUAUGUAGCAGUGACUGCUUACAGACAGAAGCCCCACAAGUCCCUCUGACAAGGGCUGUGAACCAGAGAUGGUGCUAGUCCAAUAGUGGUGGCCGAAGUCAGUAGCAAACUGUUACAUGCUAGAGUCAGGUUGCUUGAGAGUGCAACCUAAAGUUGGUGGUAAACUCCACCUAAGGCUAAAUAUAACUGUGAGACCGAUAGCAAACAAGUACCGUGAGGGAAAGUUGCAAAGAACUUUGAAGAGAGAGUUCAAAAGGACGUGAAACCGUAUGUAGGUAAACGGGUGGACCCACGAAGUCAAGCUGGAGGAAGGAUUCAGCCGUUUUAACGUAGGCAGCUUUGCUGUUCGUGGUCUUCGUUGAAGACAGAACAGUAGGCAUAUGUCUGCGUUGAGCGGUGCAUUUCCAUUCCUCCAAUGCUGAAGCUCUGACUAGUUGCAUGACACUGGCAGCUGUAAAGAUGUGCUGGGGAAGAUAGCUCGAUGUUGCUUGCGACAUACGUGCUUUACAGACCCGGUGCUGUUACUUGCUGUGUCGGUGACUAGGUUAAAUUCUCCACUUGUUGGGGUGUUUGGGUGUACAAGCGUUAUCGCUUCUAGCUCGGCUAACGGGUGAUGCAUUUGAGUGCUUUGCAUGCAAAGUGUUGCUCGUUAGUCGGUUAAGGAGAGUGAGUUCGCUUGUAUGCCCGAUCGAGA